CCUACGGGAGGCUGCAGUGGGGAAUAUUGGACAAUGGGGGGAACCCUGAUCCAGCCAUGCCGCGUGUGUGAAGAAGGCCCUCGGGUUGUAAAGCACUUUCAGUGAGGAAGAACGCCUGGUGGUUAAUACCCAUCAGGAAAGACAUCACUCACAGAAGAAGCACCGGCUAACUCCGUGCCAGCAGCCGCGGUAAUACGGAGGGUGCGAGCGUUAAUCGGAAUUACUGGGCGUAAAGCGCGCGUAGGUGGCUUGAUAAGCCGGUUGUGAAAGCCCCGGGCUCAACCUGGGAACGGCAUCCGGAACUGUCAAGCUAGAGUGCAGGAGAGGAAGGUAGAAUUCCCGGUGUAGCGGUGAAAUGUGUAGAGAUCGGGAGGAAUACCAGUGGCGAAGGCGGCCUUCUGGACUGACACUGACACUGAGGUGCGAAAGCGUGGGUAGCAAACAGGAUUAGAUACCCUUGUAGUC
RNAcentral lists this ribosomal RNA (465 nucleotides) under Vreelandella stevensii. RNAcentral describes it as "partial 16S ribosomal RNA". It matches the Rfam family "Bacterial small subunit ribosomal RNA", at positions 338 to 795 of the family's 1533-position model. The record is from RNAcentral. Lineage: Bacteria; Pseudomonadati; Pseudomonadota; Gammaproteobacteria; Oceanospirillales; Halomonadaceae.